AGUCAGGGAAUGUUUACUUUGCCUCCACUUCUGUUCCUCCCCGCCCUGGUGCUGCUCCGGGUCACAUACUCGUCCUGAGCCGGCUUCAGCCUCUCCGCGCAGAAGUCUCCCGGAGCCGACUUCUGAGAGUCGAGUACUCCUAUGUGAAGACUACCAAGCUCGUGUUCAAGGGAACCAAGGCGAAGAGGUGGGUCCUGCAGCUCUGGCGGGAGCCUUCUCAGUUCUUUUCGGACGCACUCCACCCCCGCGAAUCCGGUGGAAGUCGUGCCGCGGAGAGCUGGCUUUGUGGCAUCCCAGGCUUCGCCCUGGCGCCUGUCCGGGCUGGAUGGAGGCCAGAUAGCGGUUCCUGGCGCCUGUGCAGAGAGGGGCAGCCUCCCGCGCGGACGACCCUGGAAACAGGAUAGACGGGCGGGUGACCCGUGGCCCCGUACCCACGAGUUUGGGUCCCCUGAGGCAUCUCUCCAGGCCUCUGCCUGGCGAGAUGGAAAGAAAGUAUCAAGGAGUGAGCUGAAGCCACUGCCCUUGAGAACCCUCUCGAGGAGUCUGGGCUCAUGAGGAUGCCAGAAUAAGUGGCAGUAAGAAGAAAAAGAACAAAGAUAAGAAAAGAAAAAGAGAAGAAGAUGAAGAAACCCAGCUUGAUAUGUUGGAAUCUGGUGGACAGUAACAAACUUUGGUGAAAUUUCAGGAACCAUAGCCAUUGAAAUGGAUGAGGGAACCUAUAUACAUGCACUCGAUAAUGGUCUUUUUACCCUGGGAGCUCCACACAAAGAAGUUGAUGAGGGCCCUAGUCCUCCAGAGCAGUUUUCGGCUGUCAAAUUAUCUGAUUCCAGAAUCACCCUGAAAUCUGGCUAUGGAAAAUAUCUUGGUAUAAAUUCAGAUGAACUUGUUGUUGGGCGUUCAGAUGCAAUUGGACCAAGAGAACAAUGGGAACCAGUCUUUAAAAUUGGGAAAAUGGCUUUGUCGACCUCAAAUAGCUGCUUUAUUAGAUACAGUGAAGCAGAGGACAUAGAAGCAAAAAGUAAAACAGCAGGAGAAGAAGAAAUGAUCAAGGCUCUCCUAAUCUCUGUCAGACCUUCACCUUUAUGACCUUGCCUUAUCUACCAGAACACAGAUCCCUCUUACUAAAGAUUAGAUCCUGUGCUGAAAGAGAAACCAAGAAAAAAGAUGACAUUCCAGAAGAAGACAAAGGAAAUAUAAAACAAUGUGAAAUCAA
Molecule: long non-coding RNA, 1213 nt
Organism: Homo sapiens (human)
Lineage: Eukaryota; Metazoa; Chordata; Mammalia; Primates; Hominidae
Source: Ensembl